This is a long non-coding RNA of Nerophis ophidion (straightnose pipefish), 1171 nucleotides long. RefSeq lists it as uncharacterized. The transcript has 3 exons. Lineage: Eukaryota; Metazoa; Chordata; Actinopteri; Syngnathiformes; Syngnathidae. The record is from RefSeq and is a predicted model, not a curated record.
UAUGAUUAGAGAGAGGGAAGCUUUGCCAACCGCCAUUAAACAAAAGGACUUGUCCAGGUUGUACACCACCUUCAGUCCAAAUGCAGCUGAAAUAGGCUCGAGCAACACCAAAAAAGGGACAAGCGGUAGAAGAUGGAUGGAUAGAUGGCAUUAAACAAAAUAAAGACAAGAAGAAGAAGAGAGGGAAGCAUUUGUUUUUGUAAAGGACUUUUUUAAGGAGAAACACGUUUGUUCGGCGGGACGCCGCGAACAACAAUGAUGUGCUGGCAAUAGACUUGUGCUAACUGACUGAGGGGGGGUCUUAAAUGGUGACAUUGUUGUGUGUGGACACGGACAAGGUUAGGUGGGACUUACCCUGGAUAACCUUCGUGUAGAAGUGGCCUGAAGCUAACCAGCUGUCACUCAAACAUGCCGGGCGAGGCUAUUCAGCUAAUGAGUGACUUUUUUCGUACACCAUCUAGUGGCGAUGUUAACACGCCAUGUCGGGCUGGACUUAGGCCAUUUGGAAAGUGUUCGGGCCACAUUGCAGGACUUUGAGGCCGCGUCGCCAACCGGACUGCAUCGGCCACAGCUGCGUCGAUGCCACAAACCGUAUGCCGAGGGUGGCGUCCCGCUGCUAUUUAUUUCAGUGGUAUUACAUCAGAGUCUACCUUUUCUCCUCACUUGCCAUGAGUGGACUCCCAUAGAUACCCUCUGACACACAACACUUUCCAUACAGUAGGCCUUGCAGGUUAGGGCCAUGCUGGUGAUGAGCAAACACAGAGUACAGAAUGAUGUCAGUGUGCUGGCUAGGUUGCCAGCCCUCUGACAUAUCAGACGGCGAGGAAUCUGUCAAGGCAACAUCUCUCAUGCACCGUGGAGUUGUCAGCGAGAGGGCGGGACUAUGUGAUGCACCUGGGGAAACCGCGGAGUUUCGAAGCCUGCCGGCGAAAAUUGUGGUGCGAGCACGGGAAAAAGAUAGAAGAAGCCCGUGACAGCGCAAACACAUUUAUUUGGCCCCUCACGUAGCACCCGCUGGAACUCGCCAAUCAAUAAUUGAACAGACCAAGGAUAAUAGCGAUGACACGCGCUCUGCUCGUUGAGCGCCAUGAUGGAAACAUGUUUACUGGCAAAAUAAAUUGUGGCGGGUUGCUCACCUGUCUCCACGCUGAGGAAUAAAUGAAGAGUAAUG